GCGUGUAUAGUUUUGGAGCUGCCAGAUAAACUACUUUGACCAGAUGAAGCGGUGGUGGAAAAAGGAGACGCGUUGUACUCCAUUUUGUCUCCCAUCUUCUCGAUUUCCACCGCUGAAAAGUUUUGUCCGCCUUUUUCUCUCCCACGUCCUCUCCUUUUCCACCUCCGCUCCUCCUUGCUCGCAACGAUUUGGCGCAGCGGCGGUGACAAGACCUGCCCCGUCUUAUAUUUGUUGUCGGUGGCGGCAGGAAACGGCGGCGCCGUUGGUGCUUCUGUCGGAAAGUGCGCGAGGUCAUCCGGACGGGUAGACAGAGAUCAGUGCUGCCGCCUACAUCCUCCUCUCGCUCCCACCGACGCCCUCCUCUCCGUCAGGGCUGGCCACCAGGAGCUCUGAGGGAGAUCGAUAAGGUGGAGAUUGAGGACAUCACACUAGAGGAGGAGGGGCUGGUGGGGGGAAUCGCCUCCACAGUUGACAUAGGGAGGCGGGGAUUUAUUCGCGUCAUCAUCAUGCUGGUAUCUUCUCCUCGAUUCUUUGCCUUUUGCACUCAGUUUUAUUUUGUUGUUCUUUUCCGUUGGCUUAAAGGAAAUUCUGAUUCUGGAUGCCAUCGACACCGGCGCCAAAUUGGCUUCUUGCUGCUUAUGACAUUCGAUUUAGCUGUUUCUAUCUCUUACUAUUUGAUGUGUGUUGUUCUAAUGUUCUACAGUUUGGAUGAUUUUGUUUUUCGAUUUAGCAAUUCCUGGUCCUUUUAGAGCAGGAGAAGCUACUCACCGUGUUUAUUAGAGGAGCGGCCGCGAUCACGGAUGCACUGAGGUUGGCUCGCAGGUGGAGUGGCUGAAUCGCCUCCCCCACAACAUUUUUUGCCCCGCCAUUCCUCUGACCUUUCUUCUCCGUUCCAGCCUAAGCAUCAUGGUUGUUCUGAGAAUUUGAUGCCUCACAAGUGUUUGUUGUUAUGCCUUUAGGAACCAAAUAACUGUAUUCUUAGAUUUUUUUCAUUUGAUCUGUAUAGGUUAAACUAAUGUAUUCAUCUGAUUAACACAUCUGCAUAGGAUGCAGUGCAUCUGGGCUUCCUUAUUCUUUUUUGCUAGCUUUCAUAUCUUAUGGCUGUUGGGAACGAUCUAAUUAUCUGAUUUUUAUUCUGCAACCAAAUGUUUUAGCUCAUUAUAUAGGCAAUCAUGGACACAAUGGAGAGUGCCUUUUUCUGGCUAAUGAGUAAUGAUGUAAAGGUAUAAUCUUAAACCGUGGUUUUUCCUUGAUGGCACUGCUAAUAUCUAAUGAUUAUUUGGGAGCACAUGUAACUUCUUCACCAAAGUUCCCAAUCCGGUUGGAAGAAGUGUGCUUAAUGUUUAACAAAUGAACUCUUUUAUUUUUGUCAAUUUCCCACUCUUGAAUUGAUGAUAUCCCACAAGUUCGUGACAAAUACUUUAAGAAGUCUCAUAUCAAUGCUGUUAGAACAAAGAAGGCCAUGGAAUUAGCCUGAUGGUUAUUUUUUCGUACAUAGACUUUAUCAAUAUCAGUUCACUAUCUCUUGCUAUAGAUUCAUGAUAUUGAUAGACGCUUCAGGCUUUUGACAUUUCAAUUCUGCUGUUGCAUCAUGAUAUCUUUUUCAAAGAAACAAUUUAGUGGACUGUUUUGGUUUCGAGACAGUAUCUUCUUUGGCACUACCUACAUCAUUUUUAUGUGAUCUGGUGCUCUUCCUAAAUUUAAUAAGGAAUUAUAAGUUCAUAAACUAGCAGUGGCGCGGUUGCAUCUUUUCCUUCAGUUUUCAUGCUCACUUUUCUAAGAUAUUGUUAUGUGCUAACGCUAACUGAUUUAAUGUUUGGGCUUGAUUUGUAUUCAAGAAAAUGGAUCUGAUGUGGUCUCAAUUGCCCUUACCAUGUAUUCUCUAAGAUUCAAAAUUGUCAUUUUGUUGGUGACCCGUAUUAUACACCUACAAAUAGCUGAAUACAUUAGUAUAGUAGCACAAGUAAAUUAAGACUAUUGCCCUUUCUACACAAGUGUUUCACUGCUUUUAAUAGUUUUUACGUCUAGAGAAACCAUUGUUGUAGUAUAAAUCUUCUGGAUCACCACCGAAGAACGGAACGCUGAAAUCCAUGGACCACCAGGUGCACCUACCAAUCUUGUUUCUGAAUCUUUCCAUGGCAAGUUGCACCUUUUCCUUCAGUUUUCAUGCUCACUUUUCUCAGAUAUUGUUAUGUGCUAACGCUAACUGAUUUAGUGUUUGGGCUUCAUUUGUAUUCAAGAGGAUGGAUCUGAUCUGGUUUCAGUUGCCCUUACUAUGUAUUCUCUAAGAUUCAAAAUUGUCAUUUUGUUGGUGGUCCCUAUUAUACACCUACAAAUAGCUGAAUACAUUAGUAUAGUACCACAAGUAAAUUAAGACUAUUGCCCUUUCUACACAAGUGUUCCACUGCUUUUAAUAGUUUUUACGUCUAGAGAAACCAUUGUUGUAGUAUAAAUCUGUAAGUAUAUUUACUCUUUACAUUAUGUAAUCUCCAUUGCAGUGAACAAUUAUAGUCUACUAUCUUUCUCGAACAUUUUGGCCAUAUCUUUUUAUUCUCCUAUUCGGUUACUUAUCUAUCUUUUUAUUCUCCUAUUCGGUCACUUAUCUACUGCUGAGUUAUGGAAUAAGCUAUUAAUGCUUAUUGUCUAUUGUGUUACAGAGUCUCUAAGGUUAAGGACAAAACGUCGGCCGAGGACUAGGCAGUUACAUUGUUGAAAAUGUAUAUACCAUCUUAUUUCAUCUGCUAAAGGCGACGCUGAAAUCCAAACAUUCUGCUGAAAGUUUCCAGGACUAUGGAUACAUAUCCUACCCAGCCAUGUACAUGAUGUUGAAUGAUAACACCGCCAGGAUGAUUUCCUGCAUGGAAUGAAGUCUUUGGCUUCCCAGGAACCUGAUCAGAUGUACUAUAUACUUUAUUGGGCACAAAAAUGCUACGGCUGUUUGCACUAGAAAUUUUUGAGAAUUCCUCCUGAACGGAAUAAGUAACCAUUUCUACAGUGCACAGGUGCUUGGUGUAACUAAUUCCUUACCUAUGUGCUCUUCAGUUUAGUCCAUGCCACCUCAAAGCUGGGUGAAGCUGAGUGUGGACAGCUUCUACAUUGGGAAUAUUGCGCAAGGAGGCAUUGGAUAAUCGCUCAGAAGGAAGACUACUAUGUGGUUCUGUCCGCCUGGUACAACAUAGAUAAGUACUCUGACGCCAAAGAAUUACAAGCAAUCGCAGCACUGCUGGGCAUCAAAACUCUAUCCCAGAGUUUCAGUGGACAGAUCAUCCUGACUACGGUCAGUUCUAGCACAAAAAUAUUGAGCUUCUUGGUGUGCAGUUUCAGAAGAAACUAUGAUCUUGAUGCACAGAUUUGUCAUGUACAAAAUUAAUUAGACCAGGAGUGUGAGCAAGAAGGUAGGCAUCCUAUGCCUUGGCUAGCCACUCUAGAAAUCAUGAGGACAUUGUCACAAAGGAAUGUAAUCCUCUGUGUUUUAAUAUAUGAUGAAGCUCUUUUUAUAGAAAAAAAUGUAUUAUUUAGUCCAACCAAGGUCGAAUCUGUAAUUUAUGUAACCUACGAUGUGUUAUCUUCAUAUUACUAGAGCCCAGCCAUACAUGUCUAAAAUAAUUGGUUGUUGAUACUUUGACAACAAUAAGUUGAUAACAC
Molecule: non-coding RNA, 3645 nt
Organism: Lolium perenne
Lineage: Eukaryota; Viridiplantae; Streptophyta; Magnoliopsida; Poales; Poaceae
Source: RefSeq, a predicted model, not a curated record